RNAcentral lists this ribosomal RNA (2900 nucleotides) under Streptococcus thermophilus. Its description in RNAcentral is "LSU rRNA". It matches the Rfam family "Bacterial large subunit ribosomal RNA". The record is from RNAcentral. Lineage: Bacteria; Bacillati; Bacillota; Bacilli; Lactobacillales; Streptococcaceae.
GGUUAAGUUAAUAAGGGCGCACGGUGGAUGCCUUGGCACUAGAAGCCGAUGAAGGACGUGACUAACGACGAAAUGCUUUGGGGAGCUGUAAGUGAGCAAUGAUCCAGAGAUGUCCGAAUGGGGGAACCCGGCAGGUAAUGCCUGUCACUCAUUACUGUUAAGGUAAUGUAGAGGAAGACGCAGUGAACUGAAACAUCUAAGUAGCUGUAGGAAGAGAAAGCAAAAGCGAUUGCCUUAGUAGCGGCGAGCGAAACGGCAAGAGGGCAAACCGAAGAGUUUACUCUUCGGGGUUGUAGGACUGCAACGUGGACUUAAAGAUUAUAGAAGAACUACCUGGGAAGGUAGGCCAAAGAGAGUAAUAGCCUCGUAUUCGAAAUAGUCUUUAUACCUAGCAGUAUCCUGAGUACGGCGAGACACGAGAAAUCUCGUCGGAAUCUGGGAGGACCAUCUCCCAACCCUAAAUACUCUCUAGUGACCGAUAGUGAACCAGUACCGUGAGGGAAAGGUGAAAAGCACCCCGGGAGGGGAGUGAAAUAGAACCUGAAACCGUGUGCCUACAACAAGUUCGAGCCCGUUAAUGGGUGAGAGCGUGCCUUUUGUAGAAUGAACCGGCGAGUUACGAUAUGAUGCGAGGUUAAGUUGAAGAGACGGAGCCGUAGGGAAACCGAGUCUUAAUAGGGCGCAUUAGUAUCAUGUCGUAGACCCGAAACCAUGUGACCUACCCAUGAGCAGGUUGAAGGUGAGGUAAAACUCACUGGAGGACCGAACCAGGGCACGUUGAAAAGUGCUUGGAUGACUUGUGGGUAGCGGAGAAAUUCCAAACGAACUUGGAGAUAGCUGGUUCUCUCCGAAAUAGCUUUAGGGCUAGCGUCGAUGUUAAGUCUCUUGGAGGUAGAGCACUGUUUGGGUGAGGGGUCCAUCCCGGAUUACCAAUCUCAGAUAAACUCCGAAUGCCAAUGAGAUAUAAUCGGCAGUCAGACUGCGAGUGCUAAGAUCCGUAGUCGAAAGGGAAACAGCCCAGACCACCAGCUAAGGUCCCAAAAUAUAUGUUAAGUGGAAAAGGAUGUGGGGUUGCACAGACAACUAGGAUGUUAGCUUAGAAGCAGCUAUUCAUUCAAAGAGUGCGUAAUAGCUCACUAGUCGAGUGACCCUGCGCCGAAAAUGUACCGGGGCUAAAACAUAUUACCGAAGCUGUGGAUACCUUUAUAGGUAUGGUAGGAGAGCGUUCUAUGUGCGAAGAAGGUGUACCGUGAGGAGUGCUGGAGCGCAUAGAAGUGAGAAUGCCGGUAUGAGUAGCGAAAGACAGGUGAGAAUCCUGUCCACCGUAAGACUAAGGUUUCCAGGGGAAGGCUCGUCCGCCCUGGGUUAGUCGGGACCUAAGGAGAGACCGAAAGGUGUAUCCGAUGGACAACAGGUUGAUAUUCCUGUACUAGAGUAUAUAGUGAUGGAGGGACGCAGUAGGCUAACUAAACCAGACGAUUGGAAGUGUCUGGCCAAUCAGUGAGGUGUGAUAUGAGUCAAAUGCUUAUAUCUUUAACAUUGAGCUGUGAUGGGGAGCGAAGUUUAGUAGCGAAGUUAGUGAUGUCACACUGCCGAGAAAAGCUUCUAGCGUUAAUUAUACUCUACCCGUACCGCAAACCGACACAGGUAGUCGAGGCGAGUAGCCUCAGGUGAGCGAGAGAACUCUCGUUAAGGAACUCGGCAAAAUGGCCCCGUAACUUCGGGAGAAGGGGCGCUGACUGAUGGUCAGCCGCAGUGAAUAGGCCCAAGCAACUGUUUAUCAAAAACACAGCUCUCUGCUAAAUCGUAAGAUGAUGUAUAGGGGGUGACGCCUGCCCGGUGCUGGAAGGUUAAGAGGAGUGCUUAGCGUAAGCGAAGGCAUGAAUUGAAGCCCCAGUAAACGGCGGCCGUAACUAUAACGGUCCUAAGGUAGCGAAAUUCCUUGUCGGGUAAGUUCCGACCCGCACGAAAGGCGUAAUGAUUUGGGCACUGUCUCAACGAGAGACUCGGUGAAAUUUUAGUACCUGUGAAGAUGCAGGUUACCCGCGACAGGACGGAAAGACCCCAUGGAGCUUUACUGCAGUUUGAUAUUGAGUAUCUGUACCACAUGUACAGGAUAGGUAGGAGCCUAUGACCUCGGGACGCCAGUUUCGAGUGAGGCGUUGUUGGGAUACUACCCUUGUGUUAUGGCUACUCUAACCCAGAUAGGUUAUCCCUAUCGGAGACAGUGUCUGACGGGCAGUUUGACUGGGGCGGUCGCCUCCUAAAAGGUAACGGAGGCGCCCAAAGGUUCCCUCAGAAUGGUUGGAAAUCAUUCGCAGAGUGUAAAGGUAUAAGGGAGCUUGACUGCGAGAGCUACAACUCGAGCAGGGACGAAAGUCGGGCUUAGUGAUCCGGUGGUUCCGUAUGGAAGGGCCAUCGCUCAACGGAUAAAAGCUACCCUGGGGAUAACAGGCUUAUCUCCCCCAAGAGUUCACAUCGACGGGGAGGUUUGGCACCUCGAUGUCGGCUCGUCGCAUCCUGGGGCUGUAGUCGGUCCCAAGGGUUGGGCUGUUCGCCCAUUAAAGCGGCACGCGAGCUGGGUUCAGAACGUCGUGAGACAGUUCGGUCCCUAUCCGUCGCGGGCGUAGGAAAUUUGAGAGGAUCUGCUCCUAGUACGAGAGGACCAGAGUGGACUUACCGCUGGUGUACCAGUUGUUCUGCCAAGAGCAUCGCUGGGUAGCUAUGUAGGGAAGGGAUAAACGCUGAAAGCAUCUAAGUGUGAAGCCCACCUCAAGAUGAGAUUUCCCAUGAUUUUAUAUCAGUAAGAGCCCUGAGAGAUGAUCAGGUUGAUAGGUUAGAAGUGGAAGUGUGGUGACACAUGUAGCGGACUAAUACUAAUAGCUCGAGGACUUAUCCAA